This 536-nucleotide ribosomal RNA is filed under the name Rossellomorea vietnamensis. Its description in RNAcentral is "bacterial SSU rRNA". It matches the Rfam family "Bacterial small subunit ribosomal RNA", at positions 9 to 527 of the family's 1533-position model. Lineage: Bacteria; Bacillati; Bacillota; Bacilli; Caryophanales; Bacillaceae. The record is from RNAcentral.
GAGUUUGAUCCUGGCUCAGGACGAACGCUGGCGGCGUGCCUAAUACAUGCAAGUCGAGCGGAUUGAUGGGAGCUUGCUCCCUGAUAUCAGCGGCGGACGGGUGAGUAACACGUGGGUAACCUGCCUGUAAGACUGGGAUAACUCCGGGAAACCGGGGCUAAUACCGGAUAACUCAUUUCCUCGCAUGAGGAAAUGUUGAAAGGUGGCUUCGGCUAUCACUUACAGAUGGACCCGCGGCGCAUUAGCUAGUUGGUGAGGUAACGGCUCACCAAGGCAACGAUGCGUAGCCGACCUGAGAGGGUGAUCGGCCACACUGGGACUGAGACACGGCCCAGACUCCUACGGGAGGCAGCAGUAGGGAAUCUUCCGCAAUGGACGAAAGUCUGACGGAGCAACGCCGCGUGAGUGAUGAAGGUUUUCGGAUCGUAAAGCUCUGUUGUUAGGGAAGAACAAGUGCCGUUCGAAUAGGGCGGCACCUUGACGGUACCUAACCAGAAAGCCACGGCUAACUACGUGCCAGCAGCCGCGGUAAUACG